CAGCAGCCACGGUAAUACGUAGGUGGCAAGCGUUGUCCGGAAUUAUUGGGCGUAAAGCGCGCGCAGGUGGUUUAAUAAGUCUGAUGUGAAAGCCCACGGCUCAACCGUGGAGGGUCAUUGGAAACUGUUAAACUUGAGUGCAGGAGAGAAAAGUGGAAUUCCUAGUGUAGCGGUGAAAUGCGUAGAGAUUAGGAGGAACACCAGUGGCGAAGGCGGCUUUUUGGCCUGUAACUGACACUGAGGCGCGAAAGCGUGGGGAGCAAACAGGAUUAGAUACCCCGGUAGUCCCUGUCUCUUAUAA
RNAcentral lists this ribosomal RNA (301 nucleotides) under uncultured bacterium. Its description in RNAcentral is "partial 16S ribosomal RNA". It matches the Rfam family "Bacterial small subunit ribosomal RNA", at positions 509 to 809 of the family's 1533-position model. The record is from RNAcentral.